This 213-nucleotide ribosomal RNA is filed under the name uncultured bacterium. Its description in RNAcentral is "partial 16S ribosomal RNA". It matches the Rfam family "Bacterial small subunit ribosomal RNA", at positions 355 to 560 of the family's 1533-position model. The record is from RNAcentral.
UAGGGAAUCUUCCACAAUGGGCAAAAGCCUGAUGGAGCAACGCCGCGUGUGUGAUGAAGGCUUUCGGGUCGUAAAGCACUGUUGUNUGGGAAGAACAGCUAGAAUAGGAAAUGAUUUUAGUUUGACGGUACCAUACCAGAAAGGGACGGCUAAAUACGUGCCAGCAGCCGCGGUAAUACGUAUGUCCCGAGCGUUAUCCGGAUUUAUUGGGCG